AUUGAACGCUGGCGGCAUGCCUUACACAUGCAAGUCGAACGGCAGCACGGGAGCAAUCCUGGUGGCGAGUGGCGAACGGGUGAGUAAUAUAUCGGAACGUGCCCAGUCGUGGGGGAUAACGUAGCGAAAGCUACGCUAAUACCGCAUACGAUCUAUGGAUGAAAGCGGGGGAUCGCAAGACCUCGCGCGAUUGGAGCGGCCGAUAUCAGAUUAGGUAGUUGGUGAGGUAAAGGGCUCACCAAGCCGACGAUCUGUAGCUGGUCUGAGAGGACGACCAGCCACACUGGGACUGAGACACGGCCCCAGACUCCUACGGAGGCAGCAGUGGGGAAUUUUUGGGACAAUGGGCGCAAGCCUGAUCCAGCAAUGCCGCGUGCAGGAUGAAGGCCUUCGG
This 394-nucleotide ribosomal RNA is filed under the name uncultured bacterium. Its description in RNAcentral is "bacterial SSU rRNA". It matches the Rfam family "Bacterial small subunit ribosomal RNA", at positions 30 to 421 of the family's 1533-position model. The record is from RNAcentral.